This is a regulatory RNA element of 103 nucleotides. It matches the Rfam family "TPP riboswitch aptamer (THI element)". From Rfam's summary of the family: Vitamin B(1) in its active form thiamin pyrophosphate (TPP) is an essential coenzyme that is synthesised by coupling of pyrimidine and thiazole moieties in bacteria. The previously detected thiamin-regulatory element, thi box was extended, resulting in a new, highly conserved RNA secondary structure, the THI element, which is widely distributed in eubacteria and also occurs in some archaea. Analysis of operon structures identified a large number of new candidate thiamin-regulated genes, mostly transporters, in various prokaryotic organisms. The record is from Rfam.
AUUAAAUAUUCGGGGUGCUGAGGCAUGUGCCAAAGCUGAGAAAAUACCCAUAGAACCUGAUACGGGUAAUGCCGUCGGAGGAAUGCAAUAUGAAAGUAAGGAU